UCCGAGAUGGUCUAACGGUCAUGAUUUCCGCUUGUCACGCGGGAGACCGGGGUUCGACUCCCCGUCUCGGAG
Molecule: transfer RNA, 72 nt
Filed under: Ascosphaera apis ARSEF 7405
Lineage: Eukaryota; Fungi; Ascomycota; Eurotiomycetes; Onygenales; Ascosphaeraceae
Description: tRNA-Asp (GTC) (tRNA-Asp-GTC-2 1 to 5)
Rfam family: tRNA
About the family: Transfer RNA (tRNA) molecules are approximately 80 nucleotides in length.
Source: RNAcentral